UGCCACAGCCGUAUCACCCUGCAGCCCAAGACUGGUUGCCCACUGAAGCUAAGCAGCGUUGAGCCUGGUCAGUACCUGGAUGGGAGACCUCCUGAGAAAUCUAAGUUGCUGUUGGAA
RNAcentral lists this ribosomal RNA (117 nucleotides) under Sinocyclocheilus rhinocerous. The record is from RNAcentral. Lineage: Eukaryota; Metazoa; Chordata; Actinopteri; Cypriniformes; Cyprinidae.